RNAcentral lists this ribosomal RNA (830 nucleotides) under Cryobacterium sp. Its description in RNAcentral is "bacterial SSU rRNA". It matches the Rfam family "Bacterial small subunit ribosomal RNA", at positions 26 to 868 of the family's 1533-position model. The record is from RNAcentral. Lineage: Bacteria; Bacillati; Actinomycetota; Actinomycetes; Micrococcales; Microbacteriaceae.
GAGACGACGCCUGCGGCGUGCUUAACACAUGCAAGUCGAACGAUGAAAGGAAGCUUGCUUCCUGGAUUAGUGGCGAACGGGUGAGUAACACGUGAGCAAUCUGCCCUUGACUCUGGGAUAAGCGUUGGAAACGACGUCUAAUACCGGAUACGACCCUCGGAGGCAUCUCCUGGGGGUGGAAAGAAUUUUGGUCAAGGAUGAGCUCGCGGCCUAUCAGCUUGUUGGUGAGGUAAUGGCUCACCAAGGCGACGACGGGUAGCCGGCCUGAGAGGGUGACCGGCCACACUGGGACUGAGACACGGCCCAGACUCCUACGGGAGGCAGCAGUGGGGAAUAUUGCACAAUGGGCGAAAGCCUGAUGCAGCAACGCCGCGUGAGGGACGACGGCCUUCGGGUUGUAAACCUCUUUUAGUAGGGAAGAAGCGAAAGUGACGGUACCUGCAGAAAAAGCACCGGCUAACUACGUGCCAGCAGCCGCGGUAAUACGUAGGGUGCAAGCGUUGUCCGGAAUUAUUGGGCGUAAAGAGCUCGUAGGCGGUUUGUCGCGUCUGCUGUGAAAACCCGAGGCUCAACCUCGGGCCUGCAGUGGGUACGGGCAGACUAGAGUGCGGUAGGGGAGAUUGGAAUUCCUGGUGUAGCGGUGGAAUGCGCAGAUAUCAGGAGGAACACCGAUGGCGAAGGCAGAUCUCUGGGCCGUAACUGACGCUGAGGAGCGAAAGCAUGGGGAGCGAACAGGAUUAGAUACCCUGGUAGUCCAUGCCGUAAACGUUGGGAACUAGAUGUGGGGACCAUUCCACGGUCUCCGUGUCGCAGCUAACGCAUUAAGUCCC